GACGAACGCUGGCGGCGUGCCUAAUACAUGCAAGUAGAACGCUGAAGGAGGAGCUUGCUUCUCUGGAUGAGUUGCGAACGGGUGAGUAACGCGUAGGUAACCUGCCUGGUAGCGGGGGAUAACUAUUGGAAACGAUAGCUAAUACCGCAUAAGAGUGGAUGUUGCAUGACAUUUGCUUAAAAGGUGCACUUGCAUCACUACCAGAUGGACCUGCGUUGUAUUAGCUAGUUGGUGGGGUAAGGGCUCACCAAGGCGACGAUACAUAGCCGACCUGAGAGGGUGAUCGGCCACACUGGGACUGAGACACGGCCCAGACUCCUACGGGAGGCAGCAGUAGGGAAUCUUCGGCAAUGGACGGAAGUCUGACCGAGCAACGCCGCGUGAGUGAAGAAGGUUUUCGGAUCGUAAAGCUCUGUUGUAAGAGAAGAACGAGUGUGAGAGUGGAAAGUUCACACUGUGACGGUAUCUUACCAGAAAGGGACGGCUAACUACGUGCCAGCAGCCGCGGUAAUACGUAGGUCCCGAGCGUUGUCCGGAUUUAUUGGGCGUAAAGCGAGCGCAGGCGGUUAGAUAAGUCUGAAGUUAAAGGCUGUGGCUUAACCAUAGUAGGCUUUGGAAACUGUUUAACUUGAGUGCAAGAGGGGAGAGUGGAAUUCCAUGUGUAGCGGUGAAAUGCGUAGAUAUAUGGAGGAACACCGGUGGCGAAAGCGGCUCUCUGGCUUGUAACUGACGCUGAGGCUCGAAAGCGUGGGGGAGCAACAGAUUACAUACCCCUGGUAGUCCAGGGGCGAAUUCCACAGUGGAUAUCAGCUUAUCGAUACCGUCGACCUCGAGGGGGGGCAUCGAGUAGCACAAGCUUUUGUUCCCUUUAGUGAGGGGUUAAUUAAA
This 888-nucleotide ribosomal RNA is filed under the name uncultured Streptococcus sp. RNAcentral's name for it is "bacterial SSU rRNA". It matches the Rfam family "Bacterial small subunit ribosomal RNA". The record is from RNAcentral. Lineage: Bacteria; Bacillati; Bacillota; Bacilli; Lactobacillales; Streptococcaceae.